GCAGGGGUGAACUUGGCUGGUGCUGUGUGCAGACUUCAAAUCUGUAGGCCGUUUGCGCGGCAGUGGUUCGAUUCCACCUCUCCUGCG
RNAcentral lists this transfer RNA (87 nucleotides) under Pythium aphanidermatum DAOM BR444. RNAcentral's name for it is "tRNA-SeC for anticodon UCA". It matches the Rfam family "Selenocysteine transfer RNA". The record is from RNAcentral. Lineage: Eukaryota; Oomycota; Peronosporomycetes; Pythiales; Pythiaceae.